RNAcentral lists this ribosomal RNA (492 nucleotides) under uncultured bacterium. RNAcentral's name for it is "partial 16S ribosomal RNA". It matches the Rfam family "Bacterial small subunit ribosomal RNA", at positions 29 to 507 of the family's 1533-position model. The record is from RNAcentral.
AGUGAACGCUGGCGGUAGGCCUAACACAUGCAAGUCGAACGGCAGCACAGUAAGAGCUUGCUCUUACGGGUGGCGAGUGGCGGACGGGUGAGGAAUACACCGGAAUCUACUUUUUCGUGGGGGAUAACGUAGGGAAACUUACGCUAAUACCGCAUACGACCUACGGGUGAAAGCAGGGGAUCUUCGGACCUUGCGCGAUUGAAUGAGCCGAUGUCGGAUUAGCUAGUUGGCGGGGUAAAGGCCCACCAAGGCGACGAUCCGUAGCUGGUCUGAGAGGAUGAUCAGCCACACUGGAACUGAGACACGGUCCAGACUCCUACGGGAGGCAGCAGUGGGGAAUAUUGGACAAUGGGCGCAAGCCUGAUCCAGCCAUACCGCGUGGGUGAAGAAGGCCUUCGGGUUGUAAAGCCCUUUUGUUGGGAAAGAAAAGCAGCAGGUUAAUACCCCGCUGUUCUGACGGAACCCAAAGAAUAAGCACCGGCUAACUUCGUG